This 300-nucleotide small RNA is filed under the name Sphingobacterium multivorum. RNAcentral's name for it is "5_ureB_sRNA". It matches the Rfam family "5' ureB small RNA". Lineage: Bacteria; Pseudomonadati; Bacteroidota; Sphingobacteriia; Sphingobacteriales; Sphingobacteriaceae. The record is from RNAcentral. RNAcentral also lists the same sequence under 1 other name.
CCGUUUCAACUUGUGUUGGACUGAUAUAGUGGAUAUGGGUAUCAAUACCACCUGGAGUUAAGAUGUAUCCUGAUCCACCAUGCACCUCCGUAGAAGCACCGAUAAUCAUAUUUGGUGUAAUAUUAUCCAUGGUAUCCGGAUUUCCAGCACGACCAACACCAACAAUUUUACCAUCCUUAAUACCAAUAUCACCUUUCACGAUACCCCAGUGGUCAAUAACAAUAGCAUCAGUGAUCACCAUAUCCAGUGUACCUUCAUCACGUGUAUGAACGGAAGAUUGGCACAUCCCGUCACGCACGG